GCGGAUCGCAAGGGGAAAAGACCCCGGAAGUACGCCAAAGUAUAAAACCUCAGGUUAAAAGGUCAAAACUAGUACUUGUCCUUCAAGUCGCCCACUUGGCCCUCUUCCAGAUCAUAUGAAGUGUGCGUAUGGUACCUAUUGGAGCUAUCUUGAGCCCAUAUAAAGAGUAAGCUUUAGAAUGACGGCGACUCACAGAGAAAGCUAAGAAUCAUCAGAAAAUGAAAAUCGAUGUCUCUGAAGUCUCUCUUCAGCCAGGAGGCUUUUCCUAUUGAAGCACUCUGGGGCACAUUGAUUUCUCCUAUGUUUUAACUUCAAACAUGGCAUCAUCUGAAACCUAUAUUUUGGAUACGGCACUGUGUGCUAAUGGGCUGCCCACUCCUUCCUGAAACUACAAACUUGGAGGUCAUGUGUUGAGAUGGCAAGAACAAGAUGGAGGCAACUUGGAUCCUAGAGGAACAAGAUUGAGGAGAAUGUGCCCCUUUCCUCCUACCAGCCCAUGUUUAAUUGGGCAUAAAAAAAGAAAUAUGGAUGGAGACCACAUGAAAAUUGAAGGCAAGAGGAUGUAUGGUGUCUUCAAGAAUACCAAAGAAAUCGGUUUUGAUGUUCAACGUUUCAUGCAAGUUCAAAAAACUUGAUUCUGGUAGCAAAAUUAUAGCAGGAAGAGGAAGCAGGACACCAGAGGCUUUUCUUUUCAUGGUGAGUGUCAAACUGAAGCAUAGCCAUCCGUACUUUUUAAUGGAAUGAACAAGCUGUGCUCUCUAAAAACCAGAAUAACUAUUAAUAUCAUCAUCAGCUAUGGAAAUACAGUGGCAGAAUGUGUUAUGUCCCUAGCAACAAUCCUUUUUCUCCUCAGAACUCACCUUGCUUACAUCAUUUCUCACCUUAAGAAAUCAAUUAAUUCGAAGACUUCCUCCACCUAUCCCACUCUAAGACUUAAGAGUCUAAGAGAUAAACAAUACAAUUUGUUCUCUCAUUUUCUCUACAGAGACCUCCUAUUCAGAAUUGGGUUUGGGCUCUGCCUUGCCUCAGGAAGUUAAUAAAAUUCACUUUUCAUGUAAUCUGA
RNAcentral lists this long non-coding RNA (1063 nucleotides) under Homo sapiens (human). RNAcentral describes it as "HSALNT0376789". Lineage: Eukaryota; Metazoa; Chordata; Mammalia; Primates; Hominidae. The record is from RNAcentral.